This 465-nucleotide ribosomal RNA is filed under the name Vreelandella stevensii. RNAcentral describes it as "partial 16S ribosomal RNA". It matches the Rfam family "Bacterial small subunit ribosomal RNA", at positions 338 to 795 of the family's 1533-position model. Lineage: Bacteria; Pseudomonadati; Pseudomonadota; Gammaproteobacteria; Oceanospirillales; Halomonadaceae. The record is from RNAcentral.
CCUACGGGUGGCAGCAGUGGGGAAUAUUGGACAAUUGGGGGAACCCUGAUCCAGCCAUGCCGCGUGUGUGAAGAAGGCCCUCGGGUUGUAAAGCACUUUCAGUGAGGAAGAACGCCUGGUGGUUAAUACCCAUCAGGAAAGACAUCACUCACAGAAGAAGCACCGGCUAACUCCGUGCCAGCAGCCGCGGUAAUACGGAGGGUGCGAGCGUUAAUCGGAAUUACUGGGCGUAAAGCGCGCGUAGGUGGCUUGAUAAGCCGGUUGUGAAAGCCCCGGGCUCAACCUGGGAACGGCAUCCGGAACUGUCAAGCUAGAGUGCAGGAGAGGAAGGUAGAAUUCCCGGUGUAGCGGUGAAAUGCGUAGAGAUCGGGAGGAAUACCAGUGGCGAAGGCGGCCUUCUGGACUGACACUGACACUGAGGUGCGAAAGCGUGGGUAGCAAACAGGAUUAGAUACCCGUGUAGUC